GUACAUAAAAUCUCCCCACUGUAUUUUCUACCGCAUGCAUCUGAUGAAGUGAGCUGUAGCUCACGAAAGCUUAUGCUCAAAUAAAUUUGUUAGUCUCUAAGGUGCCACAAAUACUCCUUUUCUUAGUAACUGAACUGUUUCUUUGGAUUUAGUGGUGUGAAUUUUCCAUCUCUUUGAUGUAAUUUGUCAGUAGACUAGCAGAGAAUUUCCUGAAUCUAUACUUGUUUAACAAAGGAGUUGUGCUACUAAUUCAAUAUGCUUUAAUUGUAAUCUUAAUGUCUGUUAUAACACAGACAAACACGACAUAUCACAAGGUUCGCCAGUGUAUCCUUGAUUAAAAGGUGUUACCUAGAAUAAGAAAUUAAACUAUUUUUACAUUUGCAUUUUUACAUUUUACAAUUUUUACCUUUUUUGUUUUUUGGAAAGGGAGUGAGAUUUACAGUAAAUUCAGACAGUCCUGAGCUGGCCUAACAUUAAGAAUUUUCCAACAUGUGUGUGCUUACUUCACCACCCAGUUAUGUUCCUCCAGGUUCUUGGCUUUCAUAUGCAGUCAAAAAUUGUAUGAAAAGUGAAUGGAACUGGAACUCCUUCAGGCAAUUAUACUAACCACAACUGUUGUCUCAUUGUGGCUCAAAAUGAAGCUAGAAUAUAAAUUUGGACUAUGAUAGUGGCAAAUCAGGCCACUGAGUCAAAACUUUUACACUCUUAUUUGUGUUUCUAGUGGGAAGAAAAAAAAAAAAAAACUCUUAAAAGACAUAUUCUGACUUUCUACAACCAGAAUACCUGGAGCUGUGAUCCAAUCAUCUCACAAGCUUUUUUCUGCUUUCAUGAAAAAUCCCAAGAUUUUCAAGGCUGUUGUAAGAAAUGGUGUUGUGAUACAAUAGGUUACAUGCAUAUUUCUCAGUCAGUACAGAAUCAAUGAUCUAGCGACUUUUUGUGACACCCAUUGACUUUGGGAGAUCUACUGAAAUUGUAAGCUCUUGGGUCAAGGACUUUAAUCUUCUUAUCUUUAUGUCAUGUUCCUAGCUAUAUAGAUAAAUAACAAUACUAAUAAUUAUCAGUAAAUAGCAGCUUUGUGAGCACUGUGUAGCUGAAGACCCCAUCUUCAAUUAAUAGCUGAGAAUAAAUGUCCUAUUGUAGCAUGUUGAAUCUGUGUUCAGUGCAUUAAAUUAUUCACCCAGGUAGCACUU
This is a long non-coding RNA of Dermochelys coriacea (leatherback sea turtle), 1190 nucleotides long. RefSeq lists it as uncharacterized. NCBI's taxonomy places the organism in Eukaryota, Metazoa, Chordata, Testudines, Dermochelyidae. The record is from RefSeq and is a predicted model, not a curated record. The transcript is spliced from 2 exons.